This 375-nucleotide unclassified non-coding RNA is filed under the name soil metagenome. Its description in RNAcentral is "partial contains 5.8S ribosomal RNA, internal transcribed spacer 2, and large subunit ribosomal RNA". The stretch from base 3 to 119 matches the Rfam family "5.8S ribosomal RNA", at positions 38 to 154 of the family's 154-position model. The record is from RNAcentral.
GAGAAGAACGCAGCGAAAUGCGAUAAGUAAUGUGAAUUGCAGAAUUCAGUGAAUCAUCGAAUCUUUGAACGCAUCUUGCGCUCCUUGGUAUUCUGAGGAGCAUGCCUGUUUGAGUGUCAUUAAAUUCUCAACUACACUGACUUUGAAUUGGUGUGGCUUGGAUUUGGGGGGAAAAUUGUUGUGGGCUUUUUGUAUAGUCUGCUCCCCUGAAAUUGAUUAGCGGUACCUUUGUGGAACUGUCUACAGGUGUGAUAAUUAUCUACAUCUUAGACAUCUGCUGGAAUGCUGCUUUCUAAACCUUACUUGUAUUGACAAUCUUGACCUCAAAUCAGGUAGGACUACCCGCUGAACUUAAGCAUAUCAAUAAGCGGAGGA